UGCCAGCCGCCGCGGUAACACGUAGGAUGCAAGCGUUGUCCGGAAUCACUGGGCGUAAAGGGUCCGUAGGCGGUUUGUUAAGUCUCCUGUGAAAGUUCAAGGCUCAACCUUGAAAUGUCGGGGGAUACUGGCAAACUUGAGACUGUCAGAGGCAAGUAGAAUUCCCGGUGUAGUGGUGAAAUGCGUAGAUAUCGGGAGGAAUACCAGUGGCGAAAGCGGCUUGCUGGGACAGUUCUGACGCUGAGGUGCGAAAGCGUGGGGAGCAAACAGGAUUAGAUA
RNAcentral lists this ribosomal RNA (279 nucleotides) under uncultured bacterium. RNAcentral describes it as "partial 16S ribosomal RNA". It matches the Rfam family "Bacterial small subunit ribosomal RNA", at positions 506 to 784 of the family's 1533-position model. The record is from RNAcentral.